This 253-nucleotide ribosomal RNA is filed under the name uncultured bacterium. Its description in RNAcentral is "partial 16S ribosomal RNA". It matches the Rfam family "Bacterial small subunit ribosomal RNA", at positions 524 to 776 of the family's 1533-position model. The record is from RNAcentral.
UACGUAGGGGGCAAGCGUUGUCCGGAUUUAUUGGGCGUAAAGAGCGUGUAGGCGGCCAAAUAGGUCGGUUGUGAAAACUGGAGGCUUAACCUCCAGACGUCGACCGAAACCAUUCGGCUAGAGUCCGGAAGAGGAGAGUGGAAUUCCUGGUGUAGCGGUGAAAUGCGCAGAUAUCAGGAAGAACACACGUGGCGAAGGCGGCUCUCUGGGACGGUACUGACGCUGAGACGCGAAAGCGUGGGGAGCGAACAGG